CCUACGGGAGGCAGCAGUGGGGAAUAUUGGGCAAUGGGCGCAAGCCUGACCCAGCAAUGCCGCGUGAAGGAAGAAGGCUUUCUGGUUGUAAACUUCUUUGACAGGGGAAGUGCAGUAUUCCGUACCCUGAAUACUAUCUAUGGCUUACUACGUGCCAGCAGCCGCGGUAAUACGUAGGUGGCAAGCGUUGCCCGGAUUUACUGGGUGUAAAGGGCGUGUAGCCGGGAAGGCAAGUCAGUUGUGAAAUCCGGAGGCUCAACCUCAGAAUUGCAUUUGAAACUGUUUUUCUUGAGUACUGGAGAGGCGGGCGGAAUUCCUUGUGUAGCGGUGAAAUGCGUAGAUAUAAGGAGGAACACCAGUGGCGAAGGCGGUCUGCUGGACAGCAACUGACGGUGAGGCGCGAAAGCGUGGGGAGCAAACAGGAUUAGAUACCCCUGUAGUC
This 442-nucleotide ribosomal RNA is filed under the name uncultured bacterium. RNAcentral describes it as "partial 16S ribosomal RNA". It matches the Rfam family "Bacterial small subunit ribosomal RNA", at positions 338 to 795 of the family's 1533-position model. The record is from RNAcentral.